GACGAACGCUGGCGGCGUGCCUAAUACAUGCAAGUUGAGCGCUGAAGGUUGGUACUUGUACCAACUGGAUGAGCAGCGAACGGGUGAGUAACGCGUGGGGAAUCUGCCUUUGAGCGGGGGACAACAUUUGGAAACGAAUGCUAAUACCGCAUAAAAACUUUAAACACAAGGUUUAAGUUUGAAAGAUGCAAUUGCAUCACUCAAAGAUGAUCCCGCGUUGUAUUAGCUAGGUGGUGAGGUAAAGGCUCACCCAGGCGAUGAUACAUAGCCGACCUGAGAGGGUGAUCGGCCACCUUGGGACUGAGACACGGCCCAAACCCCUACGGGAGGCAGCAGUAGGGAAUCUUCGGCAAUGGACGAAAGUCUGACCGAGCAACGCCGCGGGAGUGAAGAAGGGUUUCGGAUCGUAAAACUCUGUUGGUAGAGAAGAACGUUGGUGAGAGUGGAAAGCUCAUCAAUUGACGGUAACUACCCGGAAAGGGACGGCUAACUACGUG
RNAcentral lists this ribosomal RNA (497 nucleotides) under uncultured bacterium. RNAcentral's name for it is "partial 16S ribosomal RNA". It matches the Rfam family "Bacterial small subunit ribosomal RNA", at positions 28 to 507 of the family's 1533-position model. The record is from RNAcentral.